This 507-nucleotide ribosomal RNA is filed under the name uncultured bacterium. RNAcentral describes it as "partial 16S ribosomal RNA". It matches the Rfam family "Bacterial small subunit ribosomal RNA", at positions 28 to 507 of the family's 1533-position model. The record is from RNAcentral.
GACGAACGCUGGCGGCGUGCCUAAUACAUGCAAGUCGAACGCAUUUUCCUUGAUUGUGGGUUGCUACAGCGUAAGAAAAUGAGUGGCGACCGGUGGAGUAACACGUGGGUAACCUGCGCAUAAGUGGGGAAUAAGACUUGGAUACAGGUUCUAAUCUCGCACAAUUCGAUGUGCGGUAGGGUAAAUGGGUGAUAGGCGAUUUUGUGUCGCUGAUGGAGGGCGUCGCUGUGGAUGUGCUAGGUGGUGGGGUGAAGGCGUAGCAGGGCUGCGAGGCGUAGCAGACCUGAGAGGAUGAGCGGCCACACUGGGACGGAGACACGGCCCAGACGCCUACGGGAGGCAGCAGUAGUGAAUCUUCGGCAAUGGACGCAAGUCUGACCGAGCAACGCCGCGUGAGUGAAGAAGGUUUUCGGGUCGUGAAACUCUGUUGUUAGAGAGGAACAAGGAUGCGAGUGGAAAGUUCAGCCCUUGACGGUAUCUAGCCAAAAAGCCACGGCUAACUACGUG